CUACGGAGGGUGCAAGCGUUGUUCGGAAUUACUGGGCGUAAAGCGCGCGUAGGCGGUCUGUUAUGUCAGAUGUGAAAGUCCUCGGCUCAACCGGGGAAGUGCAUUUGAAACUGGCAGACUUGAGUACUGGAGGGGGUGGUGGAAUUCCCGGUGUAGAGGUGAAAUUCGUAGAUAUCGGGAGGAAUACCGGUGGCGAAGGCGACCACCUGGCCAGAUACUGACGCUGAGGUGCGAAAGCGUGGGGAGCAAACAGGAUUAGAUACCCUAGUAGUCC
RNAcentral lists this ribosomal RNA (274 nucleotides) under uncultured bacterium. Its description in RNAcentral is "partial 16S ribosomal RNA". It matches the Rfam family "Bacterial small subunit ribosomal RNA", at positions 523 to 796 of the family's 1533-position model. The record is from RNAcentral.